RNAcentral lists this RNase P RNA (404 nucleotides) under uncultured Muribaculum sp. Its description in RNAcentral is "Bacterial RNase P class A". It matches the Rfam family "Bacterial RNase P class A". From Rfam's summary of the family: Ribonuclease P (RNase P) is a ubiquitous endoribonuclease, found in archaea, bacteria and eukarya as well as chloroplasts and mitochondria. Lineage: Bacteria; Pseudomonadati; Bacteroidota; Bacteroidia; Bacteroidales; Muribaculaceae. The record is from RNAcentral.
AGCGGGACGGUCGGUCGCUUGUCGACUACGAGAGCGACAAGAGGAAAGUCCGGGCAACAUAGAGCACCAUAGUUCUUAACGGGAACCUAUCGGUGACGGUAGAGUAGCGUGACAGAAAAUAACCGCCGCCGCCUGUUACGGAUUGCAAUAUAUCCGCAGCAUGCGGCGGUAAGGGUGAAAAGGCGAGGCAAGAGCUCACCGGGACCGGCAGUGAUGUCGGUCGCCGCACGCCUUAUGGGUUGCAAGGUCAAGUAUACCGGCAUUUAAGGGUUGCUCGCCCAUUGCCGGGGGGUAGACUGCUCAAGCCGCGUGGCGACAUGCGGAUUAGAUAAAUGACCGACCAUGCAGGCGGCGAGAACAUCGAGUCAACUGCAUGACAUAACCCGGCUUAUAGCCCCGCUCGG